AUGAACGCUGGCGGCGUGCCUAAUACAUGCAAGUCGAGCGAACGGACGAGAAGCUUGCUUCUCUGAUGUUAGCGGCGGACGGGUGAGUAACACGUGGAUAACCUACCUAUAAGACUGGGAUAACUUCGGGAAACCGUAGCUAAUACCGGAUAAUAUUUUGAACCGCAUGGUUCAAAAGUGAAAGACGGUCUUGCUGUCACUUAUAGAUGGAUCCGCGCUGCAUUAGCUAGUUGGUAAGGUAACGGCUUACCAAGGCAACGAUGCAUAGCCGACCUGAGAGGGUGAUCGGCCACACUGGAACUGAGACACGGUCCAGACUCCUACGGGAGGCAGCAGUAGGGAAUCUUCCGCAAUGGGCGAAAGCCUGACGGAGCAACGCCGCGUGAGUGAUGAAGGUCUUCGGAUCGUAAAACUCUGUUAUUAGGGAAGAACAUAUGUGUAAGUAACUGUGCACAUCGUGACGGUACCUAAUCAGAAAGCCACGGCUAACUACGUG
This 496-nucleotide ribosomal RNA is filed under the name uncultured bacterium. RNAcentral describes it as "partial 16S ribosomal RNA". It matches the Rfam family "Bacterial small subunit ribosomal RNA", at positions 29 to 507 of the family's 1533-position model. The record is from RNAcentral.